This 61-nucleotide microRNA precursor is filed under the name Cordylochernes scorpioides. Lineage: Eukaryota; Metazoa; Arthropoda; Arachnida; Pseudoscorpiones; Chernetidae. The record is from RNAcentral.
GUUGCUGUCGACUUAUCUGUGAGGAGAUCCUGUCGACUCUCGCUAUAAGCUGUGGUAACUG